GGAAGUGUACUGAAAGGCUCUUAAGCCUAAUAUACUGGCAACUUAGCUGCAAACUACUGUUUUGUGCUGCAUUCGAUACUACUUGGAGUGUAGGGAUGGGUGGGUUGAUUUAAUCCCCACAUCGAGUGUAGGGUUGGAUGGAGAUGGUGUGUAAAGGCUGGUUGGGUAGGACUUGGUUACUGAAUACUGUAUAUCUAUUACUGAUACUGUGAUGGGCUAAGGCCCUUGUGCAUACUGAUAUUGAAAGGGGCUUAGGCCCAAG
This 262-nucleotide long non-coding RNA is filed under the name Gossypium barbadense (sea-island cotton). RNAcentral's name for it is "long non-coding RNA (GBAR_LNC010749)". The record is from RNAcentral. Lineage: Eukaryota; Viridiplantae; Streptophyta; Magnoliopsida; Malvales; Malvaceae.